Long non-coding RNA from Nicotiana attenuata, 660 nucleotides. RefSeq lists it as uncharacterized. The transcript is spliced from 2 exons. The record is from RefSeq and is a predicted model, not a curated record. NCBI's taxonomy places the organism in Eukaryota, Viridiplantae, Streptophyta, Magnoliopsida, Solanales, Solanaceae.
UUUAGCGUAUUAAGGUAAACUCAAAAUCGAUAUGUUAAUACCCUUUAUAUUGCUCUAUAAAUAUCAGUGAUAGCUCGUGCACGGGGUUGUUAAUUAGCUCUUCAGCUUUUAAAAGAAAGAAAGAGAGAGAUGGCAAGACUAAGCAGAGGGCUGUUAAUGCUCAUUGUAAUAGUGGCUGCAAUUCAGAUUUGCGCAGCAGAGGCCAUCACCGCCACCGUCUCGUGGGGGGAUCCUUGCAGCGACAAAGCUAAGACCCAAAUAGAAAAAUGCUUGAAGGAAGAGACUGCUGACAUUGACAAGUGCUGCCGUAAAUUACGCAACGCCAUUCAUGAUAGCUGCCCUUGUUGGGUUCACGCUGUUGCCACAGACAAACCACUUGCCAUUGCCUACUUUGAGUAUUGCCAGAUUUAUCAUCCCCCAUGCUAAAAUUCUCUGGCGAUAUGAAUAUAUGAGACGGAGGAAGACAAUGGGAUAGUACCUGUUCUUUUUUAAUUUCCAAGCUAUGUUUUCGUCGAUGUUAGAUCUUAGUUUUCUAUUAUGUUAGUUGUACCUUUGUGCUCUCGUGGUACAACGCAACGGCGUUGCUUCUUUUUCCGUUUCCUUGUACAAGAGUUGCUGAAAUUUCAAUGCAUUACGUUUAGGACCGUUGUUCUUGUCAAA